CCCUUAGAUGCUCUGGGCCGCACGCGCGCUACACUGGUCGAUGCAACGAGUUUCUUUCCUUGGCCGACAGGCCUGGGCAAUCUUUGAACAUCGAUCGUGAUCGGGAUAGAUUCUUGUAAUUUUUGAUCUUAAACGAGGAAUUCCCAGUAAACGCAAGUCAUCAGCUUGCAUUGAUUACGUCCCUGCCCUUUGUACACACCGCCCGUCGCACCUACCGAUUGAAUGGUCCGGUGAAAUCUCCGGACUGGCGUGAGUCGGAGCAAUCUGACAAACGCCGGAAAGUUGAUUAAACCUUACCAUUUAGAGGAAGGUGAAGUCGUAACA
RNAcentral lists this ribosomal RNA (324 nucleotides) under uncultured eukaryote. Its description in RNAcentral is "partial 18S ribosomal RNA". It matches the Rfam family "Eukaryotic small subunit ribosomal RNA", at positions 1470 to 1796 of the family's 1831-position model. The record is from RNAcentral.